RNAcentral lists this long non-coding RNA (846 nucleotides) under Lepisosteus oculatus (spotted gar). RNAcentral describes it as "lncRNA (ENSLOCG00000021359.1)". Lineage: Eukaryota; Metazoa; Chordata; Actinopteri; Semionotiformes; Lepisosteidae. The record is from RNAcentral.
CGCAGGCGGACUUCCAGUAAGUGAUGGAGACGAGCGCCAGCGCUAUAGCAACAGGCAAUAACGGCUCGUCCGCGUUUCACAGCAGGCGAUUAUCCUGUCAGGCUCCAAGGGAGAGAGCAGCGCACAGUGGCAGGGAAAUUGAAGGGGAGCCUUUCAACCUGUGUUGCUCUCCAGACAACAGGCACCAAAGACAAUUUUUAAUCCCUAGAUAACCUUCCCCUCUUUCACUGCGGAACGAAGCCAUCCAGGCCUGACCUUUCUACGGGAAAUAAGAACUUGUCCAGUCUGUCCACGGAAUAAGACAGAAACUCUUCAGCAGCCCGCCACCUCUAUGGCCCAGGGUUUCAAAUUAAAUUAGCAAAACCAUCACCUGCCAUUCAUCGAUUCUCCCUCCUCCUCCUCUUCCACCCGCCCUCAGUCACUCAAGGAUUUUACGACAAAAGAUCCCCAGGCGAGUCCGCGGUUUCACACUGCAGGAAUCCGUCAGCCCUGGACGGGGUUGGCUGUCCCAUUUCCGUCACAACAAGAACAUUCAUCAGCUACACACUUCUGGCCCAGUUGUGCUUCUUAGGGGUAACAGAUGGUGAUGGAAAUUUAAGAAGGCAUCGCCGAAAGCAGGGAGAUUAAAGAAUGUAUUCUCUACUCAGCCCAGUUAAAAAGACAUCCCCAGGAGAAUGUGUAACUUCUUGAGCAACCCACAAAUUUCUCCAUCCAUAAAUUACACUACAUGUGUAAUAACUGUAACGCUACCCCUAAACUUCAGCUUGUAACCACCACCAAUAACACUAACCUUGACGUAACUUGUAUUCCCGAUUCUUGAUUCCAACCCUCAUCAUUAACCUUAAA